RNAcentral lists this ribosomal RNA (440 nucleotides) under uncultured bacterium. RNAcentral describes it as "bacterial SSU rRNA". It matches the Rfam family "Bacterial small subunit ribosomal RNA", at positions 338 to 793 of the family's 1533-position model. The record is from RNAcentral.
CCUACGGGAGGCAGCAGUGAGGAAUUUUCCACAAUGGGGGCAACCCUGAUGGAGCAACGCCGCGUGCAGGAGGACGCUUUUCGGAGUGUAAACUGCUUUUCCCAGGGACGAGAGAGGACGGUACCUGGGGAACAAGCCCCGGCUAACUACGUGCCAGCAGCCGCGGUAAUACGUAGGGGACGAGCGUUGUCCGGAGUUACUGGGCGUAAAGCGCCCGCAGGCGGUCCGCUCAGUUCGCGCUGACAGCUCCUGGCUUAACUGGGAGAGCGGUGCGAAGACGGGCGGACUGAGAGGGCCAGAGAGGGACAUGGAACUCCGGGUGUAGUGGUGAAAUGCGUAGAUAUCCGGAAGAACACCAAAGGCGAAGGCAGUGUCCUGGCUGGUACCUGACGCUCGGGGGCGAAAGCUAGGGGAGCGAACGGGAUUAGAUACCCUAGUAG